This 492-nucleotide ribosomal RNA is filed under the name Lodderomyces metapsilosis. RNAcentral's name for it is "eukaryotic LSU rRNA". The stretch from base 148 to 301 matches the Rfam family "5.8S ribosomal RNA". Lineage: Eukaryota; Fungi; Ascomycota; Pichiomycetes; Serinales; Debaryomycetaceae. The record is from RNAcentral.
UCCGUAGGUGAACCUGCGGACCCUUUUCUUUCUACACAUGUGUUUUUCUUUUUUUUGAAAACUUUGCUUUGGUGGGCCCACGGCCUGCCAGAGAUUAAACUCAACCAAAUUUUUUAUUAAUUGUCAACUUGAUUAACUAAUAGUCAAAACUUUCAACAACGGAUCUCUUGGUUCUCGCAUCGAUGAAGAACGCAGCGAAAUGCGAUAAGUAAUAUGAAUUGCAGAUAUUCGUGAAUCAUCGAAUCUUUGAACGCACAUUGCGCCCUUUGGUAUUCCAAAGGGCAUGCCUGUUUGAGCGUCAUUUCUCCCUCAAACCUUCGGGUUUGGUGUUGAGCGAUACGCUGGGUUUGCUUGAAAGAAAGGCGGAGUAUAAACUAAUGGAUAGGUUUUUUUCUUCCACUCAUUGGUACAAACUCCAAACAUUCUUCCAAAUUCGACCUCAAAUCAGGUAGGACUACCCGCUGAACUUAAGCAUAUCAAUAAGCGGAGGAA